Molecule: non-coding RNA, 95 nt
Organism: Turdus rufiventris (rufous-bellied thrush)
Lineage: Eukaryota; Metazoa; Chordata; Aves; Passeriformes; Turdidae
Source: the annotation of a GenBank genome assembly
GGGGGACUGGGCCAGGUUUGGGGGGUCCCUGACUCAUUUUUGGGGGUCCCUAAACCCAUUUUGGGGUCCCCAAUCCCAUUUCGGGGUCCCAAACC